RNAcentral lists this ribosomal RNA (509 nucleotides) under uncultured bacterium. Its description in RNAcentral is "partial 16S ribosomal RNA". It matches the Rfam family "Bacterial small subunit ribosomal RNA", at positions 28 to 523 of the family's 1533-position model. The record is from RNAcentral.
GACGAACGCUGGCGGCGCGCUUAACACAUGCAAGUCGAGCGAGAACCAGACCUUCGGGUCUGGGGACAGCGGCGAACGGGUGAGUAACACGUGGGUAAUCAACCCUCGGUACUGCGAUAGCCCGGGGAAACCCGGAUUAAUACCGGAUGGCCCUUCGCAUCUUCGGUUCCGCAGGAAAAGGUAGCUUCGGCCCCCGACCGCGGCCGACCCCCCGGCGGAUGAGCUUGUUGGUGGGGUAACGGCCUACCAAGGCGGCGAUCCGUAGCUGGUCUGAGAGGACGAUCAGCCACACUGGGACUGAGACACGGCCCAGACUUCUACGGAAGGCAGCAGUGGGGAAUCUUGCGCUAAUGCGGGAAACCGUGACGCAGCGACGCCGCGUGAGGGAAGAAGGCCUUCGGGUUGUAAACCUCUUUCAGAAGGGACGAAGCUACUCGGGUUAAUAGCCCAGAGGGUGACGAUACCUUCAGAAGAAGCCCCGGCUAACUACGUGCCAGCCGCCGCCGUAA